AUUGAACGCUGGCGGCAGGCCUAACACAUGCAAGUCGAGCGGAAACGAGUUGUCUGAACUUUCGGGGAACGAUAGCGGCGUCGAGCGGCGGACGGGUGAGUAAUGCCUAGGAAAUUGCCUGAUGUGGGGGAUAACCAUUGGAAACGAUGGCUAAUACCGCAUGAUGCCUACGGGCCAAAGAGGGGGACCUUCGGGCCUCUCGCGUCAGGAUAUGCCUAGGUGGGAUUAGCUAGUUGGUGAGGUAAGGGCUCACCAAGGCGACGAUCCCUAGCUGGUCUGAGAGGAUGAUCAGCCACACUGGAACUGAGACACGGUCCAGACUCCUACGGGAGGCAGCAGUGGGGAAUAUUGCACAAUGGGCGCAAGCCUGAUGCAGCCAUGCCGCGUGUGUGAAGAAGGCCUUCGGGUUGUAAAGCACUUUCAGUCGUGAGGAAGAUAGUGUAGUUAAUAGCUGCAUUAUUUGACGUUAGCGACAGAAGAAGCACCGGCUAACUCCGUGCCAGCAGCCGCGGUAAUACGGAGGGUGCGAGCGUUAAUCGGAAUUACUGGGCGUAAAGCGCAUGCAGGUGGUUUGUUAAGUCAGAUGUGAAAGCCCGGGGCUCAACCUCGGAAUUGCAUUUGAAACUGGCAGACUAGAGUACUGUAGAGGGGGGUAGAAUUUCAGGUGUAGCGGUGAAAUGCGUAGAGAUCUGAAGGAAUACCGGUGGCGAAGGCGGCCCCCUGGACAGAUACUGACACUCAGAUGCGAAAGCGUGGGGAGCAAACAGG
This 768-nucleotide ribosomal RNA is filed under the name uncultured bacterium. RNAcentral's name for it is "bacterial SSU rRNA". It matches the Rfam family "Bacterial small subunit ribosomal RNA", at positions 28 to 776 of the family's 1533-position model. The record is from RNAcentral.